This 575-nucleotide ribosomal RNA is filed under the name uncultured archaeon. RNAcentral describes it as "bacterial SSU rRNA". It matches the Rfam family "Archaeal small subunit ribosomal RNA", at positions 564 to 1137 of the family's 1478-position model. The record is from RNAcentral.
UAAUGGGCCGCCGGAAAAACUGCAAAGCUAGGGAGUGGGAGAGGUAGACGGUACUCGGUAGGAAGGGGUAAAAUCCUUUGAUCUAUUGAUGACCACCUGUGGCGAAGGCGGUCUACCAGAACACGUUCGACGGUGAGGGAUGAAAGCUGGGGGAGCAAACCGGAUUAGAUACCCGGGUAGUCCCAGCUGUAAACGAUGCAGACUCGGUGAUGCGCUGGCUUGUGGCCAGUGCAGUGCCGCAGGGAAGCCGUUAAGUUUGCCGCCUGGGAAGUACGUACGCAAGUAUGAAACUUAAAGGAAUUGGCGGGGGAGCACCACAAGGGGUGAAGCCUGCGGUUCAAUUGGAGUCAACGCCAGAAAUCUUACCCGAGGAGACAGCAGAAUGAAGGUCAAGCUGGAGACUUUACCAGACAAGCUGAGAAGUGGUGCAUGGCCGUCGCCAGCUCGUGCCGUGAGAUGUCCUGUUAAGUCAGGUAACGAGCGAGAUCCCUGCCUCUAGUUGCCACCAUUACUCUCAGGAGUAGUGGGGCGAAUUAGCGGGACCGCCACAGUUAAUGUGGAGGAAGGAAGGGGCC